Molecule: long non-coding RNA, 1790 nt
Filed under: Equus caballus (horse)
Lineage: Eukaryota; Metazoa; Chordata; Mammalia; Perissodactyla; Equidae
Description: lncRNA (ENSECAG00000051698.1)
Source: RNAcentral
AGGAAUUUUUAAAACGAGGAAAAGCAAAAUAUUUUAUAUGAGCACAUGACAAAGGGUCAUUGCUUCAUGAGAAGCUGUCAGCAUGCUUUGGGUGGCAUCACCUUUGAGGGGCAUGCUGAAGCUGUAAAACCCAGCUGGAGCCUCUAAAUGGGCGGAAGAACACUGAAGGGAAUGGAACACUGGCAAAAAGAGUGAGGUCAGGGAACAUGGUGGAUAAGGGGAAUCCUGGGCUUUCACUGUGGGUAGUGAGGAUUACCGCAAACCUGAAGCCCCUCAAAGCUGACUCAAGAGCAGGUUUAAUGGAGAAGCACAUGGCAAAAUCAUCGGUCUCCACCUGCAUCUUACCUAGCACAGUAUUGUGCACAUACUCGGAGGUCAACGAACACUUAGAUUGACUAGGAUAAUGGUGGUUUUAAAGGUAUUAUGUGUAUUUAUAAAUGACUGCAGUGAAUUUAGGGAGCUGUUGGACUCAGUGUCAGUGUUACUGGGGGAAAUGGAUUUCUGAACCACAUCCUAGGACCAAACUAAUGAUCCGAAUCACAUCAAGUGUGGCAGUGGCACAGCAAGAAUUUAACUCUUUAUUUAUUCCCCAGCUUUGUUAGGAUUCUCUUUGGUCAGCAGGUGUUGCAGGACAGCUGCAUGCUCUGUAGGGAACCCGGGGGGCAGGGAAAAGCCCUGCUGAGGUCGCCGGCAUCUGUUCCUCCCUCUGCAGCUACCUCACGUCCAUUACUUCUGAAUUCUUGGCCGGGAACUUUUGAAGAUUAACUCCUCCCUCCCCUCAAAGAAAAGAUGGAAAUGAUGUUGUUUCUAGAAGUUUGUCUGUAUGAUGACCCAAGAUAUCACCUCUGAUGUUUCAAGAACUACUUUAUUCCAUGGGAUUUAAAGUGCCUGUAUUUUCAACAUGAGCCAGUUCUCACACUUGGAACCAUACAGUAAGUGAGUGAUUCUAUCCCAUGAAGAAGGACCCUACAACAUCAUGGCAAAUGUAAAUACGCGAUUCUCCCAGUCGUCCCAAAGGGAUCUACUUGUCUACCUAGAAGGUACUGAGCAUGUUCUUAGGAUGAUGGCAGAGAACAAGAAUGAGAGCAAGUGGAAAGAGGACAAGCAAUAUUCCAGAUAAUGGCUUCUUGGGUCCCGGAGCGACCUGAUGUGGAGCAGAGCAGUGGCUGACGCCUAACAGACAUGCACCUUGACCAGAAAGGAAACUGUGUGUUAUGAGCCACUAUUAUUGGGUUAUUUGUUGCUUCAGCAAAACCUAGUGUGGCCUGACUGAUCAGUAGUUGUUAAAUGAUGCUGUGUAAACCAUUAUUUAACCCAACAGUUCAAGUUUCCUUGUUAAAUCUAUACUUGUCUAGAUUUUGUGUUUUUGCAGAGAGUUCCAUAUAAAGUUGUUUAAUUCCUUUAUGGCUUGUUUUUGAGAUUUUGCACAUCAGGGAUUUUUGCAUGGCUAUUCCUCAUUCAUCAAAACAACAAGAUAUCACGAGAAUGAACAUCUAAUUUUUUCUACUUCAUCUAGAUUUUUGCAAUAUAGUUUUCAUGCUUUUCUGUAUGUGAGUUUUCUACCCUAAUGUGCAGCAUGUGAAUGUGAUAUUUAUCUUAUAGAUUAGUCUUUGCCUGUGACCUAUCGCUGACCACAGGCAAGGAUCACAUCUACUAUGUGCUGUGUCCUUGUCUAUGUUACACAAAAAUAACUACUGGAAAAUGAAACAUGUAGUUAAAUGACAAAUUUACAUCCAGUGAUUUUUAGAAAUAAGUUCUGAUUUUAGAAUUUUGAAUAUAAUUGCCCUACU